This is a long non-coding RNA of Solanum tuberosum (potato), 404 nucleotides long. RefSeq lists it as uncharacterized. The record is from RefSeq and is a predicted model, not a curated record. The transcript is spliced from 2 exons. Lineage: Eukaryota; Viridiplantae; Streptophyta; Magnoliopsida; Solanales; Solanaceae.
UUUCUAAGAGGUUUAUAAUCACUGUCAAUCACUAGAGAAUCAACAUAAAUAUUUUAGAUAUUUGUAGCAAAGUGCCCUGCCACAAAAUUGUGAUCAAUGGUGUCUUUUUUUGUUUAUAGCAGCAGAAACACUUGAAAUGCUGUUAACCAAAAUUGUGAGCUGGUUUCUUUUCUCUCUAAUCUGAUCCCAAGAAGAUGAGAAAAUGGAGUGAUCAAAUUUGAAGGGUCGCUACAAGUCAAUUUGAUCUCAUUGAAGUGGAUGAUGAAGAGUUUUUGAACUAUUGUAAAAGUUUGAAUACAUUAUGUGUGAUUUUGUGAAAUAUAUUCUUUGCUAGAAUAUAUUGAACUUAUUGUAAGAGUACUUUUGAACAAUUGUGUACACAUAUUUAGAAUAUUGCUUUAUAA